UAUAACCGGCGAUUUCCGAAUGGGGAAACCCAGUGUGACUCGUCACACUAUCAUUAACUGAAUCCAUAGGUUAAUGAGGCGAACCGGGGGAACUGAAACAUCUAAGUACCCCGAGGAAAAGAAAUCAACCGAGAUUCCCCCAGUAGCGGCGAGCGAACGGGGAGGAGCCCAGAGCCUGAAUCAGCAUGUGUGUUAGUGGAAGCGUCUGGAAAGGCGCGCGAUACAGGGUGACAGCCCCGUACACAAAAGCGCAUGUGCUGUGAGCUCGAUGAGUAGGGCGGGACACGUGGUAUCCUGUCUGAAUAUGGGGGGACCAUCCUCCAAGGCUAAAUACUCCUGACUGACCGAUAGUGAACCAGUACCGUGAGGGAAAGGCGAAAAGAACCCCGGCGAGGGGAGUGAAAAAGAACCUGAAACCGUGUACGUACAAGCAGUGGGAGCACAGG
RNAcentral lists this ribosomal RNA (446 nucleotides) under Salmonella enterica subsp. enterica serovar Muenchen. Its description in RNAcentral is "partial 23S ribosomal RNA". It matches the Rfam family "Bacterial large subunit ribosomal RNA", at positions 99 to 585 of the family's 2925-position model. Lineage: Bacteria; Pseudomonadati; Pseudomonadota; Gammaproteobacteria; Enterobacterales; Enterobacteriaceae. The record is from RNAcentral.